AUGGGAGCGCGCUGGAGAGAUGGUAAGUUACUGGGUGGCGCCUGGGGCGCGCCCGCCGCAGCGCCUACGGCAGGGCCGUUGGUGCCGUGGUGGGCAUUCCGAUUUCCCCCUCUGAUUCCCCAGGGCCUCCGUCCGCCGCACCGCACCCGCUAGGGCCGUGUGGCUUAGGUGCCCCAGGAGGAGGACGCAGCGCGGGGCUUCUACCAUUGCGGUGUCCGCCACGCGAGGUUAACUCCCGUUGCUCGGUUGGUAAGUCUGGCCAGCGGCCAUCUACCCACAUAACCCAUCCGGCAUCGGUCGGGGGCGAUCCCCCGUCCCCUGUAUCCAGGCGACUCCAUUACGCCGUGCAUCCUGAGAUGUCGGUUUCGUGGAGGU
Molecule: ribosomal RNA, 375 nt
Filed under: Neonectria galligena
Lineage: Eukaryota; Fungi; Ascomycota; Sordariomycetes; Hypocreales; Nectriaceae
Description: partial 28S ribosomal RNA
Source: RNAcentral